Molecule: long non-coding RNA, 1328 nt
Filed under: Coturnix japonica (Japanese quail)
Lineage: Eukaryota; Metazoa; Chordata; Aves; Galliformes; Phasianidae
Description: lncRNA (ENSCJPG00005009160.1)
Source: RNAcentral
UUUCACCUUUUCUUCCCUUCUUUUUCUCUUUCCUCAGAUAAACCAAAGAUGAAACAUGCGAAUCCUGGAAAAGAGAAAGAACUGAAAUAUUCAGCUGCUAUCAAGGAUAAAGAACAUUCUAAAGAAAAGGAAGGAAAGAAUCCUACAGCUUUAAAAGAUAAAGAAUCACUGAAAGGAAAAAAUCCCAAGAAUCCAGAAGAGUCAAAGGAAAAAGAGACUGCUAAAAGAAAAGAUGUGAUGCCUCCAACAGUCUUAAAGGAAAAGGACUCUUCAAAAGGAAAGGAAAUGAAAGUUCCAGCUAUGACAAAGGAGAAAGCUGCGGUGAGGAAACAAGAGGAAAAGAAAGGCACUUCAGAGAAACCUCAUGACCACAAGCAUGAACAUAUUAAACAUGAAAAAUCAAUCUCUCACACUAAGCCAGAGGAGAAAAUUAAACAACAAAAGAGAGGCCUCACCGAGAGUUCAGCCCAAGCUAAGCCAGCAAAGCAUGAAGCAGUCAGGCAUGAAAAAGAUGUUCUACCUACAAAGCCCGUCAAACUGAAAACAACUUCAACCCCGAAGAAAAGAAAGACGUCUAAGGAAAAAGAAGGUAGGAAAUUACUCUGUGUAUUCAUAUAUGUGUAGAUGGAAGAUCACAAGGAUGAUCAGAGGACUCAAGCACCUCUCCUCUGAAGACAGGUGGAAGGAGCUGGGCUUGUUCAGCUUUCCUUGGGAGAUCCUUUUUCAGUCUUUCAAUACUUAAAGUGAGGAGAGGGACAGACUUUUUACAUGGUCUGGUAAUGAUAGGACAAGGGGGAAUGAUUUUAACCAAAAGAGGUGAGAAAUAGUUUAGAUAUUAGGCAGAAAUUCUUCACUUAGAGACUGGUGAGACACUGAAACAAGUUUCCCAGAGAAGCUGUGGGUGCCUCAUACCUGUAAGUCUUCAGGCUUGACUUAGUCAUUUGCAACCCUGACUAUAGCAGGGGGCAUAGAACUAGCUGUUGUUCUCUUCCAACCCAAGCCUUCCUACGAUUCUAACUUUAAAAUACUUCAGAUCAUAAUCUUGCAUGUAUUUGUAUAUGGAAAAAAAAAACAAAAAAAACAAAAAACAAAAAAAAAAAAACAAAAAAAACAAAAAAAACCCAACUCCUAAAAUAUCUAUAUUAAUUUUCAAAGAAUUGUAUUUGAAAAGUCUAGGUAAUAAUCUAAUAAGAAUUAGAAUUAAAAAUAUCUCCAACCUUGAACUCUGUUACCUGUCCCUUUCCUUUUUCUGCCUAGAAAAAACAACUGAGAAGAAACCUCUGAAAGAUGAAAAACACAAAGGUAAUAAAGGGAUGAAAAUCUCUGCA